RNAcentral lists this ribosomal RNA (823 nucleotides) under Lactobacillus delbrueckii subsp. bulgaricus. RNAcentral's name for it is "partial 23S ribosomal RNA". It matches the Rfam family "Bacterial large subunit ribosomal RNA", at positions 773 to 1594 of the family's 2925-position model. Lineage: Bacteria; Bacillati; Bacillota; Bacilli; Lactobacillales; Lactobacillaceae. The record is from RNAcentral.
ACCGAACCCACGUAAGUUGAAAAUUGCGGGGAUGAGUUGUGGGUAGCGGUGAAAUUCCAAACGAACUUGGAGAUAGCUGGUUCUCUCCGAAAUAGCUUUAGGGCUAGCCUCGCAAAGAGGAUGCUGGAGGUAGAGCUCUGUUUGGACUAGGGGCCCGUCAAGGGUUACUGAAUUCAGAUAAACUGCGAAUUCCAGACAUUUAUGUGCGGGAGUCAGACUGCGAGUGAUAAGAUCCGUAGUCGAAAGGGAAACAGCCCAGAUCACCAGUUAAGGUCCCAAAAUUCAUGCUAAGUGGAAAAGGAUGUGGAGUUGCGCAGACAACUAGGACGUUGGCUCAGAAGCAGCCAUCAUUCAAAGAGUGCGUAAUAGCUCACUAGUCGAGUGACGCCGCGCCGAAAAUUUACCGGGGCUAAGCAUGAUACCGAAACUGUGGAUGUGCAUUUAUGCACGUGGUAGGAGAGCGUUCUAGCGGCGGUGAAGCAUGACCGAGAGGACAUGUGGAGCUUCUAGAAGUGAGAAUGCCGGUAUGAGUAACGAAAGACAGGUGAGAAUCCUGUCCGCCGCAAGACUAAGGUUUCCUGGGGCAGGCUCGUCCGCCCAGGGUAAGUCGGGACCUAAGGCGAGGCCGAGAGGCGUAGUCGAUGGACAACAGGUUGAAAUUCCUGUACUGCACCGAAUCGUUAUGAGCGAUGGAGGGACGCAGGAGGCUAGCAGCGCGUGGUGCUGGAUACCACGUUCAAGCGUCAAGUCUGAGAGUGAGUCAAAUGCUUGCUCUCAUAAGGACAAGGCGUGAUGAGGAGCGAAAUUAAAGUAGCGAAGGCUG